Molecule: ribosomal RNA, 468 nt
Filed under: uncultured bacterium
Lineage: Bacteria
Description: partial 16S ribosomal RNA
Rfam family: Bacterial small subunit ribosomal RNA
Source: RNAcentral
GACGAACGCUGGCGGCGUGCUUAACACAUGCAAGUCGAACGGGAAGGCCCUGCUUUUGUGGGGUGCUCGAGUGGCGAAAGGGUGAGUAACACGUGAGUAACCUGCCCUUGACUUUGGGAUAACUUCAGGAAACUGGGGCUAAUACCGGAUAGGAGCUCCUGCUGCAUGGUGGGGGGUGGAAAGGUUCGGCGGUUGGGGAUGGACUCGCGGCUUAUCAGCUUGUUGGUGGGGUAGUGGCUUACCAAGGCUUUGACGGGUAGCCGGCCUGAGAGGGUGACCGGCCACAUUGGGACUGAGAUACGGCCCAGACUCCUACGGGAGGCAGCAGUGGGGAAUAUUGCACAAUGGGCGGAAGCCUGAUGCAGCAACGCCGCGUGCGGGAUGACGGCCUUCGGGUUGUAAACCGCUUUCGCCUGUGACGAAGCGUGAGUGACGGUAAUGGGUAAAGAAGCACCGGCUAACUACGUG